RNAcentral lists this long non-coding RNA (3064 nucleotides) under Hordeum vulgare. Its description in RNAcentral is "long non-coding RNA (HVUL_LNC006174)". Lineage: Eukaryota; Viridiplantae; Streptophyta; Magnoliopsida; Poales; Poaceae. The record is from RNAcentral.
CAGUAUCUGUCAUCCGAAUUUCUACAGCAAUAAUUCCAGACAUGUAAACGUCAAAACGACUUGUAGACCGAGAACAAAUUGCUACGGCAUUCCCAUUUAAUCUGCAUAUGCUUUCGCAAAAAAUGAAAUAACAUUCAAAUGACUUGGAAGGCCAGCAUAAAACUACAAGCUAAGAAUUUGACCUCCUGCCGUAUGUGUUCUUCCGAGUACCAGUACAGCUGCAGACUCAGCUGCCGUAUGUGCCCGCCAUCUUCAGCAGAGAAUCAGAAUGUGAUUGUAUACUUGCGGCCAAAAUGAAAUUCCAGUCCCAGUAUCAUCAACAUCCAAGUAAAUUGCUGCAAAACUAACGAAUCCUUCCAUGACAAAAUCAGUGGACAUCAGUAGAGUCGGUUUCAGGGUAAGUUCAAAAGGAGGGGAAAAAAUCUCCAUCGAGUUCAGUCAUAUAAAUGUUGCGGCAACUUGGAAUUUCAGUCAGAGUCAGAGAUCAAUCCAGCUGAGAUCAAUUUCAGUCAUAGCUCUCUAGGAAUUCAGUGGACAGCAGUAACUACCAGUCAGUCUCAGGGGGCAAGAAAAUUCAGCCGUAUAAAACACGCUCGAGACGACUUGGAAGCCCAGCAGAGAAUUACAGCUAAGAAUCCAAUUUCGAGUGCGACUGUAGACUCGCUGCCGUCCAGACCCGCAUCUUCAGCAGCUGCUGCGAGAACAACGAUUCUCUGGCUCAUAUGUACCACUACAAAAUAACUGGACAGCAGGAGCAGCCUCACUCCCAGGGCAAAUAAAGUCCCAUAUCUCAACCAAAUUUCAACAGCAAUUAUUUCAGACGUCCAAACGUCGAAAUAACUUCUGGACCAAGACCCAAGCCAUGCUUACAAGGGUUCGUUUCGGUAGAAUGGACGCAGAUUUCGUUUUAUUUGAUCUGAUCCGAUUCUCUGCCGUGCAAACCACGUUUCAGCUGAACUAUACUGCCUGCCAACAUGAACACAUCAUGCAGAUACUUCCUCCUUUUUUAUAUACAAGGCCACAAACCCAUAUUACAGGUACCAAGGCAAAAGAUAAUGCAUUCUUGUUUGCCAUGUAAAUUAAUGUAUAUUUUUCUCUCUCAUGCACAUUAAGCCAAUAAUCUCACUCCCACAUGCAUGCAAAGGAUAAUUAAUGUCCUCCUUUGUUAGUACUACGAGGCAAACAUCAUUAAUAUUGCAUCGAUUAGUGUUAGUGGCCUUGUAUUUAUGCAAAUUGUAAUUCUGAUAGUGGCCUUGUAUAUAAAAAUCCAAGUGCAGCAAACAUGGCCUGGAGAUAAGGUUUCCUUUCCGACUUAAAUCUAGCAAUACAUCAUGCAGCAUGACACCAUGCAUGGAGAAGAGCAAACAGUCCAAAUCUCAUAAAUUAUAUUCAGAAAAUAUUCUUACCUGUCGAACCGUUUCAGCACAUUAGGACAUCAAAUCAGAGUCAUCAGCUCCAUCAGUUGCACUGGCAAUGGCUGUGCCUAGAAGCAUAAGGCUGCUCAUAGUGGGGAGUAACUAAGAGUAGUAACAUGAUGUUGUUAUUAGUCUAUGUUACUACCUUCAUAGUGGGGAGUAACAUACAUGUGGUGUCAUGCAAACAAACAUUUAUUAGGUUGUAGACACAUAGUGCAUUGAAAUAUGUGAUGUGAUGGUAACUAGCUAUGUUACCACUACCAUCUCUCUCCAUAUUAAAUACUUGCCACGUCAGAUUUUUUGCCCACGUGGCGUUGAUGUUACUACUUAGUUACUCCCCACUAUGACUAGUCUAAGAGCUCACCAAUUAACAACAGUUCCAGAAUCAAAUGGAUAAAAGAAUGCAACGUGAGACUGUUAGAAAGAUGAGCUGAGAAAUGUAACUCGGGCAAAAUAAUUCACCUAUGUAACUUAUUUGUACUGAUGUGUUCUAAGCUACUGCUGGCUGUCUGGCUGGAGGAAGAAGUUUUGUUUUUUUUUUUUUUUUUUUUUUUUUUUUUUUUGAGGGGUUGGCUGGAGGAAGAAGUAACACACGAGAUGAGUGGAUGGUGGAGUGUGGGCUGGCGUUGGUUUCUUUCUGUCUACUACUGCUAUGCUAUGCUUUUGAGUGGGCCUUUUUCCUUCAUUCGCAGCAAUGGACUUGGGCCCUGCCCUUGACCGACCCACCAAGUGCAUGCAAAACUUCUCGAGAAAGAAUAUUUUUUGUACACGUAUAAUAUUUUCUUUGAUUGAUGUUCAACAUUUAUCAAAUACAGUAGAUGAUUAAUACUUUUUGAUACUAUAUUUUAACACAAUUAAAAUAUAUGUUAAACAUUUUUAAUAUGCCCUAAACAUUUUAUGAGUGGCACGAAGCAUUUAAUAAAAAACGUGAAAAUUUUCAUUACAUUUUAUAAACAUUUUUUAAAAAUUCACCAACAUAUUCAUGACAUGCGCGAACAUUGUUUUACAAUAUACGGCCAAUUACAUGAACAUAUUUUUUACAACGUACAAUGUUUUUAGAAAAAAAUAUGAGGAAAAUUUGUUUAAUACUCCCUCCGUCUCAAAAUAAGUGUCUCAAGCUUAAUACAAUUUUAUACUAGAGCUAGUACAAAGUUGAGACAAUUAUUUUGGGACGGAGGGAGUAGUACAUAACAUUUAUAAAAAUACACGAACAAUUUUUUUGAAUAUCACGGAUUUUUUGAAGCACAUGAGCAUUUUUCAAAUCUCACGCACAGUUUUUUAAUGCUAUUAUUGCUUGAAUACUAUUGUUUAUACUAGAUUGAUAUUUUUAAAUGUGUGAUGAACACUUCAAAAUUUAAGUAAAUUAAUUUUUUAAUGUGUGACGAAUGCGCUUGCCACGGCGGCAGUGGAUCACUUGGUCGCCCCCCUCGCUCGCCAGGAUCUGGGUGCGGUGGCACUUACUACUGCGGCGGUGGCUGGCCGGUCCGACACCCUCGCCACUCCCGUGGAUCUGGGAGCGGAGGCGCACGCUGCGGCGACGGCCGGCAGCCGGCUGGAGAUGGCUCAUGUUGGCGCCGCCAAGACUAGAGGAAGACGAGACUAGUGGAGGGACUGGGGUUUCUUUCUACCUGCUGCUACGCUAGCAUUGG